Molecule: long non-coding RNA, 2075 nt
Organism: Gasterosteus aculeatus aculeatus (three-spined stickleback)
Lineage: Eukaryota; Metazoa; Chordata; Actinopteri; Perciformes; Gasterosteidae
Source: Ensembl
ACUCACGUAAUGGCUGUUAACAUUACCCAUUUGGCGCCAGAGAGCAGCAAACGCACAUUUUUCAAAGGGAUUCACUUUAGUUCUUGUUCCCCCUUUUAUUACCGCACUGAUAAGUUUAAGUUAAAAAAUACACUUAAAGUGGGUCCGUAACGUUAAACCUUUCUACAUGCCGAGAAACCCGGGAAGGUCAGGCUACAAGCUAUUAACGUUAGCUAACAGCUAGCGUUAGCUAGUCACUUUACAUCGGUUAGGUUCGAAUGUUCGUGGCCACAAACUCACGAGAAAGUCAAACAAGAAAAGCAUCUGAUGCAUCACGCAUUUAUAUUGAUAGCAUCAACACUAGUUAGAUAAUUAUUUUCACUUAAAUGAGUCUACUAAUGUUAACCUAGCCUUAAUGGUGUAGGCAACAUUAAGCUAACGUUAGCAGCUAUAAGCCUCAGUUAACAUUUUAUUGAGACAGCAGACAGCCAACUACUUUUCUUGGUGGCAACUAAAUCCUGUUAAAGUGAAAAUAUGUAUUAUGAAUUUAAAACGUUUACUUACUGAAAACGUAGAGCCUUGGAUACGCAGACAGCCAGGAGAUAGAGCAAAUCCGCGUCCUCCAGGGGCGGUUUGUGGUCGCACAUGCGCAGAUGUGGAAGUUGAAUGUGGGUUUAAAAUGUACACGUGUUUUUCAUGUAACCUAUAAAUGACGGAAAUGAGCUUUUCGUAAACCAUGGAAGAAUGUGUUAAGCUUAAUUAAAAAAGCUAAUUCAAUAACACGUUCAAAUCAGUGAAAUGACCUUGCAUAAAUCAAGUAAUAUUUAAAAGCGGUCCGAAUCGUUUUUCUCCAGGAGCCAGUGGAAGGUUCUGCCCUGGUAGCGACCCAACUGCACCUUCCACCGGCUCAGGACCAGGGCGGCGCUGGUGGUGCCACCGCCCUCGGAGACGUUUUUUAUGCUUGUUAUUCCACAUAAAUGACAAAUGACACAAUUCUACUGGACUGUUGAAUGACACAUGAAUAAAACACGCUGCUGUUCGUUGUAAUAAAGUAACGUUAUGACUUGGUAAUAACUGGUGUUGUCAACACGUGACGCAUCACCGAUGCUAUAAAGUCACGUAAGCUCCGUCACCAAUAAACCACGCAAACGUCCGCAGAAACACGGAGAGACGUGACCGUUAGCUCCCACACGCGUUCCAUUCAGCGUAUUAAAUACAGUUAGUAAUAAUAACCAUAACUCGUGGCUAAAGUUACGCGUGUGACGUCACGGCCGCCGCUGGCAUCGAUCGGCAACAGAAUGAGACGGCAGUCCAGCGGUGAUCCAACAUGGCGGAUCGAAAAGUCCAAAUUGGAACAACUUGAGCAUCUGAUUGGACGCGCAAACCGUGGAUCCUCUGAUAAGUCGGCCGAGAAUUGGAACAAGCUCCGAGGCCUCUCAUUGGCUCCUGGGAAUUGGAACAAUUGGAACAGAGAAGAAGGAUGUUGUGUGUAAAAGCAGGCAAUCUUGCAGCUCAAGGCAAGGCGGAGGUCACCGGUAAUGUGGGCAUACCCACGAUCUGACCACUGGUGGGACACAACAACAACAAGCAGUGCACGAUCGGUUGUGGAGAUGUCGUUUGGGAGAUUGAAAGGACGAUGGAGGUGCCUCCUAAAAAGAGCUGCAUUAAUGAUGCAUUUUAACAGAGGGAACGAGUGAUUCUUUGAAUACACCAAAGCUAUAUUUGUUGCAAUACUUUUGUAACACUGCAGUUUGUGUUUAUUGAAAUCUACACUUUUAUAUUGUAUUACAUUCUCAUCCAUUAAAUGAACCAUGUAAUCUCUAAAACGUGCAUUUUGUGAAUCAUUUAUCAAUCAUCCUCAAUCAACAACCCUUUCACACUUCUGGCCCGGAUUAAAACCAACCAAGUUUUUAUUAACUUCCAAUCAUGAAGUAAUUUGGAUUUUAAUCAUAUUUCAUGUCGAAAUAAUAUAGAUUUGUAUAUGCAGCUAAUCGCAUCACUUGGCUGUUUAAUGUACACAUUUAUAUAAAAGUAAAUUGCAUUAAAAACAAACACAAACCAUAAGGCAAUAUUUGCCUGUUAAGUGUUUAAGAAAC